Molecule: ribosomal RNA, 741 nt
Filed under: Pseudomonas sp. PVG8
Lineage: Bacteria; Pseudomonadati; Pseudomonadota; Gammaproteobacteria; Pseudomonadales; Pseudomonadaceae
Description: bacterial SSU rRNA
Rfam family: Bacterial small subunit ribosomal RNA
Source: RNAcentral
UGCAGUCGAGCGGAUGAUGGGAGCUUGCUCCUGGAUUCAGCGGCGGACGGGUGAGUAAUGCCUAGGAAUCUGCCUGGUAGUGGGGGACAACGUUUCGAAAGGAACGCUAAUACCGCAUACGUCCUACGGGAGAAAGCAGGGGACCUUCGGGCCUUGCGCUAUCAGAUGAGCCUAGGUCGGAUUAGCUUGUUGGUGAGGUAAUGGCUCACCAAGGCGACGAUCCGUAACUGGUCUGAGAGGAUGAUCAGUCACACUGGAACUGAGACACGGUCCAGACUCCUACGGGAGGCAGCAGUGGGGAAUAUUGGACAAUGGGCGAAAGCCUGAUCCAGCCAUGCCGCGUGUGUGAAGAAGGUCUUCGGAUUGUAAAGCACUUUAAGUUGGGAGGAAGGGUUGUAGAUUAAUACUCUGCAAUUUUGACGUUACCGACAGAAUAAGCACCGGCUAACUCUGUGCCAGCAGCCGCGGUAAUACAGAGGGUGCAAGCGUUAAUCGGAAUUACUGGGCGUAAAGCGCGCGUAGGUGGUUUGUUAAGUUGGAUGUGAAAGCCCCGGGCUCAACCUGGGAACUGCAUCCAAAACUGGCAAGCUAGAGUACGGUAGAGGGUGGUGGAAUUUCCUGUGUAGCGGUGAAAUGCGUAGAUAUAGGAAGGAACACCAGUGGCGAAGGCGACCACCUGGACUGAUACUGACACUGAGGUGCGAAAGCGUGGGGAGCAAACAGGAUUAGAUACCCUGGUAG